This 364-nucleotide ribosomal RNA is filed under the name uncultured diatom. Its description in RNAcentral is "LSU rRNA". It matches the Rfam family "Eukaryotic large subunit ribosomal RNA", at positions 415 to 791 of the family's 3401-position model. Lineage: Eukaryota; Bacillariophyta. The record is from RNAcentral.
GGAAGCGAAGGAAACCAGUGCCGAAGCUUAUUCAUACUUCUCUUGCUACUUGUGGUAAGGGCGCUGUGGAUUUGCGUGGGUCAGCAUCGGCUCUUUGCUUGGGAUAUAUCUUUAGCGGGUAGACGACCUCUUUCGGGAGGUGAGUGCCCGUUAUUGCUAUCCUGGGUUGGGCCGAGGUCAGUCACUCUGUGCUCGUGAUGCUGACAAAAUGGUUUUCUUUACCCCGUCUUGAAACACGGACCAAGGAGUCUAACAUAUGUGCAAGUACAAAGGUGGCAAACCUGCGUGCAUAAUGAAAGUAACAGUGGUUGGAUCCCUUCGGGGUGCACAAUCCGCCGGCCAUCAUCCCUCGGGAGAACGGUCU